UUUGCUACUGAGGAGGGACAUUACACAAAUAACAUAUGUAAGGCUUGUACGCGGCUGUGCCCUUCUGGGUGCAGCGUCUGCUGCGGCUGGAUUAUUUAUUUUCACCCUUGUCUUUUGCGCACUUGUUGUUUCCUGGGCGGGUUCGCCCGCCACCAGGACCACAUGAUAAACCUUUUUUAUGCAGUUGCAAUCAGCGUCAGUACAACAAAAUGUAAAUCAUUUACAACUUUCAACAACGGAUCUCUUGGUUCUGGCAUCGAUGAAGAACGCAGCGAAAUGCGAUACGUAGUGUGAAUUGCAGAAUUCAGUGAAUCAUCGAAUCUUUGAACGCACAUUGCGCCCUUUGGUAUUCCAAAGGGCAUGCCUGUUCGAGCGUCAUUUGUACCCUCAAGCUUUGCUUGGUGUUGGGCGUCUUGUCUUUGCUCCGCCAAAGACUCGCCUUAAAACGAUUGGCAGCCGGCCUACUGGUUUCGCAGCGCAGCACAUUUUUGCGCUUGCAAUCAGCAAAAGAGGACGGCACUCCAUCAAGACUCCUUCUCACGUUUGACCUCGGAUCAGGUAGGGAUACCCGCUGAACUUAAGCUUUUGCGGGGGGAAAAAAACUC
This 605-nucleotide ribosomal RNA is filed under the name Curvularia akaii. Its description in RNAcentral is "eukaryotic LSU rRNA". The stretch from base 225 to 378 matches the Rfam family "5.8S ribosomal RNA". The record is from RNAcentral. Lineage: Eukaryota; Fungi; Ascomycota; Dothideomycetes; Pleosporales; Pleosporaceae.